This 132-nucleotide small RNA is filed under the name Fusobacterium varium. RNAcentral's name for it is "Ribosomal protein L10 leader". It matches the Rfam family "Ribosomal protein L10 leader". Rfam says of the family: This family is a putative r-protein leader autoregulatory structure found in B. subtilis and other low-GC Gram-positive bacteria. It is located in the 5' untranslated regions of mRNAs encoding ribosomal proteins L10 and L12 (rplJ-rplL). A Rho-independent transcription terminator structure that is probably involved in regulation is included at the 3' end. The record is from RNAcentral. Lineage: Bacteria; Fusobacteriati; Fusobacteriota; Fusobacteriia; Fusobacteriales; Fusobacteriaceae.
UUAAUAUAGAUCCAAACCAAAGACCGUAGGUGGUUUUAACCUUAAUUACCCUACCGAGGUUGGAAGUAGGUUUCGCUAGCCUCAUAGUGUGAUUUCAACCUCCGUUCCAUUCUUUGGUACGGGGGUAAUUUU